Cydia amplana is the source of this 327-nucleotide long non-coding RNA. RefSeq lists it as uncharacterized. The record is from RefSeq and is a predicted model, not a curated record. The transcript is spliced from 2 exons. Lineage: Eukaryota; Metazoa; Arthropoda; Insecta; Lepidoptera; Tortricidae.
UUGUAAAUUAUAACUCAAUGUUAACAAAAAUUAACUUAAAAUGUAUAAAGCACAUUUAAAUUAUACCCAAAGUAUGUAGAGUGUAAUCUAAGUAAAAUAAAGCAUUUGUUUCUCAAAGAUGUAAUGUUUUGUAGCUACUCUGAGCGUUAAUUAGUUUUACUAAAGUGAGGACACAUAAGUAGGCAUUAAUCUAAUGGCUGUGUUUUACUUAAGGUAACGUCAAUUCUUUGCACAUCUUUUAAACUAAACUGUACAGUUACACAAAAUUGUUGUUUUCGUUUAAAUUAUCGUAAUAUUAUAAAUGGGAUACGUAAAUAAAAGCAUAAA